CCUACGGGAGGCAGCAGUGGGGGAUAUUGCACAAUGGGGGAAACCCUGAUGCAGCGACGCCGCGUGGGUGAAGAAGCGCCUCGGCGCGUAAAGCCCUGUCAGCAGGGAAGAAAAUGACGGUACCUGAAGAAGAAGCCCCGGCUAACUACGUGCCAGCAGCCGCGGUAAUACGUAGGGGGCAAGCGUUAUCCGGAUUUACUGGGUGUAAAGGGGGCGCAGACGGCGAUGCAAGCCAGGAGUGAAAGCCCGGGGACCAACCCCGGGACUGCUCUUGGAACUGCGUGGCUGGAGUGCAGGAGGGGCAGGCGGAAUUCCUGGUGUAGCGGUGAAAUGCGUAGAUAUCAGGAGGAACACCGGUGGCGAAGGCGGCCUGCUGGACUGCAACUGACGUUGAGGCCCGAAAGCGUGGGGAGCAAACAGGAUUAGAUACCCCAGUAGUC
Molecule: ribosomal RNA, 440 nt
Filed under: uncultured bacterium
Lineage: Bacteria
Description: partial 16S ribosomal RNA
Rfam family: Bacterial small subunit ribosomal RNA
Source: RNAcentral